RNAcentral lists this ribosomal RNA (504 nucleotides) under uncultured bacterium. RNAcentral's name for it is "partial 16S ribosomal RNA". It matches the Rfam family "Bacterial small subunit ribosomal RNA", at positions 30 to 523 of the family's 1533-position model. The record is from RNAcentral.
AUUGAACGCUGGCGGCAGGCCUAACACAUGCAAGUCGGACGGUAGCACAGAGAGCUUGCUCUCGGGUGACGAGCGGCGGACGGGUGAGUAAUGUCUGGGAAACUGCCUGAUGGAGGGGGAUAACUACUGGAAACGGUAGCUAAUACCGCAUAACGUCGCAAGACCAAAGAGGGGGACCUUCGGGCCUCUUGCCAUCAGAUGUGCCCAGAUGGGAUUAGCUAGUAGGUGGGGUAACGGCUCACCUAGGCGACGAUCCCUAGCUGGUCUGAGAGGAUGACCAGCCACACUGGAACUGAGACACGGUCCAGACUCCUACGGGAGGCAGCAGUGGGGAAUAUUGCACAAUGGGCGCAAGCCUGAUGCAGCCAUGCCGCGUGUAUGAAGAAGGCCUUCGGGUUGUGAAGUACUUUCAGCGGGGAGGAAGGUGUUGAGGUUAAUAACCUCAGCAAUUGACGUUACCCGCAGAAGAAGCACCGGCUAACUCCGUGCCAGCCGCCGCUGUAA